Molecule: small nuclear RNA, 100 nt
Organism: Lycium barbarum (goji berry)
Lineage: Eukaryota; Viridiplantae; Streptophyta; Magnoliopsida; Solanales; Solanaceae
Source: RefSeq, a predicted model, not a curated record
GUCCCUUUGGGGACAUUCGAUAAAAUUGAAACGAUAUAGAGAAAAUAAGCAUGCAUGCAUAAGAAUGACACACAAAAAUCUAGAAAUGGUCCUUAGAAAC